RNAcentral lists this ribosomal RNA (405 nucleotides) under uncultured Bicosoecida. Its description in RNAcentral is "partial small subunit ribosomal RNA". It matches the Rfam family "Eukaryotic small subunit ribosomal RNA", at positions 30 to 432 of the family's 1831-position model. Lineage: Eukaryota; Bigyra; Bicosoecida. The record is from RNAcentral.
GCUUGUCUCAAAGAUUAAGCCAUGCAUGUUCAAGUAUAGCAAGUGUACAGUGAAACUGCGAAUGGCUCAUUAAAUCAGUUAUCGUUUAUUUGAUGAUCUCUUACUACUUGGAUAACCGUAGUAAUUCUAGAGCUAAUACAUGCGCAAAUUCCCGACUGUCGCAAGGCGGAAAGGAUGUAUUUAUUAGAUCCAACCAGCCCGGUUCGCCGGAGUCCCUGGUGAGUCAUAAUAACUGAGCGAAUCGCAUGGCCUUGUGCCGGCGAUGGUUCAUUCAAGUUUCUGCCCUAUCAGCUUUCGAUGGUAGGGUAUUGGCCUACCAUGGCGUUAACGGGUAACGGAGAAUUAGGGUUCGAUUCCGGAGAGGGAGCCUGAGAAACGGCUACCACAUCCAAGGAAGGCAGCAGG